RNAcentral lists this ribosomal RNA (374 nucleotides) under uncultured bacterium. RNAcentral's name for it is "bacterial SSU rRNA". It matches the Rfam family "Bacterial small subunit ribosomal RNA", at positions 28 to 432 of the family's 1533-position model. The record is from RNAcentral.
GAUGAACGCUGGCGGCAGGCCUAACACAUGCAAGUCGAACGCCGUAGCAAUACGGAGUGGCAGACGGGUGAGUAACACGUGGGAACGUACCCUUCGGUUCGGGAUAACUCAGGGAAACUUGAGCUAAUACCGGAUACGUCCGAGAGGAGAAAGAUUUAUCGCCGAGGGAUCGGCCCGCGUCUGAUUAGCUUGUUGGUGAGGUAAUGGCUCACCAAGGCGACGAUCAGUAGCNGGAUCGAGAGGUUGACCAGCCACACUGGGACUGAGAUACGGCCCAGACUCCUACGGGAGGCAGCAGUGAGGAAUUUUCCGCAAUGGGCGAAAGCCUGACGGAGCAAUGCCGCGUGAAGGAAGACGCCUUUCGGGUGUAACUU